RNAcentral lists this unclassified non-coding RNA (340 nucleotides) under soil metagenome. Its description in RNAcentral is "partial contains 5.8S ribosomal RNA, internal transcribed spacer 2, and large subunit ribosomal RNA". The stretch from base 2 to 119 matches the Rfam family "5.8S ribosomal RNA", at positions 37 to 154 of the family's 154-position model. The record is from RNAcentral.
GUGAAGAACGUAGUGAAAUGCGAUACGUAAUGUGAAUUGCAGAAUUCAGUGAAUCAUCGAGUCUUUGAACGCACAUUGCGCCCCCUGGUAUUCCGGGGGGCAUGCCUGUCCGAGCGUCAUUGCUGCCCUCAAGCACGGCUUGUGUGUUGGGCUCCGUCCCCCCGGGGACGGGUCCGAAAGGCAGCGGCGGCACCGAGUCCGGUCCUCGAGCGUAUGGGGCUUUGUCACCCGCUCUGUAGGCCCGGCCGGCGCCAGCCGACAACCAAUCAUCCUUUUUUCAGGUUGACCUCGGAUCAGGUAGGGAUACCCGCUGAACUUAAGCAUAUCAAUAAGCGGAGGA